GAUGAACGCUGGCGGCGUGCCUAAUACAUGCAAGUCGAGCGAACGGACGAGAAGCUUGCUUCUCUGAUGUUAGCGGCGGACGGGUGAGUAACACGUGGAUAACCUACCUAUAAGACUGGGAUAACUUCGGGAAACCGGAGCUAAUACCGGAUGAUAUUUUGAACCGCAUGGUUCAAAAGUGAAAGACGGUCUUGCUGUCACUUAUAGAUGGAUCCGCGCUGCAUUAGCUAGUUGGUAAGGUAACGGCUUACCAAGGCAACGAUGCAUAGCCGACCUGAGAGGGUGAUCGGCCACACUGGAACUGAGACACGGUCCAGACUCCUACGGGAGGCAGCAGUAGGAAUCUUCCGCAAUGGGCGAAAGCCUGACGGAGCAACGCCGCGUGAGUGAUGAAGGUCUUCGGAUCGUAAAACUCUGUUAUUAGGGAAGAACAUAUGUGUAAGUAACUGUGCACAUCUUGACGGUACCUAAUCAGAAAGCCACGGCUAACUACGUG
RNAcentral lists this ribosomal RNA (496 nucleotides) under uncultured bacterium. RNAcentral's name for it is "partial 16S ribosomal RNA". It matches the Rfam family "Bacterial small subunit ribosomal RNA", at positions 28 to 507 of the family's 1533-position model. The record is from RNAcentral.